AAUUAAGGGGAAAAGAGGGGCGGAAGGUGGGGUGGUGGUUUUUUUUAAAUUUUGGGGUCUAUCUCAGAUUGAACGCUGGCGGCAGGCCUAACACAUGCAAGUCGAGCGGAUGAAGGGAGCUUGCUCCUGGAUUCAGCGGCGGACGGGUGAGUAAUGCCUAGGAAUCUGCCUGGUAGUGGGGGAUAACGUCCGGAAACGGGCGCUAAUACCGCAUACGUCCUGAGGGAGAAAGUGGGGGAUCUUCGGACCUCACGCUAUCAGAUGAGCCUAGGUCGGAUUAGCUAGUUGGUGGGGUAAAGGCCUACCAAGGCGACGAUCCGUAACUGGUCUGAGAGGAUGAUCAGUCACACUGGAACUGAGACACGGUCCAGACUCCUACGGGAGGCAGCAGUGGGGAAUAUUGGACAAUGGGCGAAAGCCUGAUCCAGCCAUGCCGCGUGUGUGAAGAAGGUCUUCGGAUUGUAAAGCACUUUAAGUUGGGAGGAAGGGCAGUAAGUUAAUACCUUGCUGUUUUGACGUUACCAACAGAAUAAGCACCGGCUAACUUCGUGCCAGCAGCCGCGGUAAUACGAAGGGUGCAAGCGUUAAUCGGAAUUACUGGGCGUAAAGCGCGCGUAGGUGGUUCAGCAAGUUGGAUGUGAAAUCCCCGGGCUCAACCUGGGAACUGCAUCCAAAACUACUGAGCUAGAGUACGGUAGAGGGUGGUGGAAUUUCCUGUGUAGCGGUGAAAUGCGUAGAUAUAGGAAGGAACACCAGUGGCGAAGGCGACCACCUGGACUGAUACUGACACUGAGGUGCGAAAGCGUGGGGAGCAAACAGGAUUAGAUACCCUGGUAGUCCACGCCGUAAACGAUGUCGACUAGCCGUUGGGAUCCUUGAGAUCUUAGUGGCGCAGCUAACGCGAUAAGUCGACCGCCUGGAGACGCCGACUUGG
This 934-nucleotide ribosomal RNA is filed under the name uncultured bacterium. RNAcentral's name for it is "bacterial SSU rRNA". It matches the Rfam family "Bacterial small subunit ribosomal RNA", at positions 1 to 890 of the family's 1533-position model. The record is from RNAcentral.